GGUCACCCACACUGGGACUGAGACACUGCCCAGACUCCUACGGGAGGCUGCAGUCGAGAAUCAUCCGCAAUGGGCGAAAGCCUGACGGUGCAAUGCCGCGUGGGGGAUGAAGGCCUUCGGGUCGUAAACCCCUGUCAGAAGGGACGAAGCAAGUGACGGUACCUUCAGAGGAAGCCACGGCUAACUACGUGCCAGCAGCCGCGGUAACACGUAGGUGGCGAGCGUUAUUCGGAUUUACUGGGCGUAAAGGGUCCGCAGGGGGUUUGCCAAAGUCCGGUGUGAAAGUCCAGGGCUCAACCAUGGAACUGCGCCGGAUACCUGGUGAACUGAAGUGCGCGAAGGGCAAGGCGGAAUUCCUGGUGUAACGGAGGAAUGCGUGGAUAUCAGGAAGAACACCGAACAGCGAAAGCAGCCUGCUGGCGCGCCACUGACCCUCAUGAACGAAAGCGUGGGUAGCGAACAGGAUUAGAUACCCUGGUAGUCCACGCCGUAAACGGUGCAGACCCGAUGCGGUGGGCAGCCCCCUCCGUGUCCAAGCCAACGCGUUAAGUCUGCCGCCUGGGUACUACGGUCGCAAGGCUAAAACUCAAAGGAAUUGACGGGGGCCCGCACAAGCGGUGGAGCAUGUGGCUCAAUUCGAGGCAACGCGAAGAACCUUACCCGGACUUGACAUCGAGCGA
This 680-nucleotide ribosomal RNA is filed under the name uncultured organism. RNAcentral's name for it is "bacterial SSU rRNA". It matches the Rfam family "Bacterial small subunit ribosomal RNA", at positions 302 to 994 of the family's 1533-position model. The record is from RNAcentral.